Molecule: long non-coding RNA, 4459 nt
Filed under: Fragaria vesca (wild strawberry)
Lineage: Eukaryota; Viridiplantae; Streptophyta; Magnoliopsida; Rosales; Rosaceae
Description: long non-coding RNA (FVES_LNC000046)
Source: RNAcentral
GGAUAUAUCACCAUACCUAGCUUCCAUCUUUUUGCCACGUAUUGCCGGCCCCCAUACGUACUCAACCCUAUAAAUCAAACCCUUACAUUUCAGAGUUGAAUCGUUUAAGAAAAAAUGCCAGACCAUCCACCACCACCACACGGCGGCCACGGUCACGCACCACCCCCAGGUCCGGGACACCACGAGCCUCCUCCGCCCCAUGGCCAUGCUCCUCCUCCGGGGCCUCAUGCACCUCCUCCGGGACCCCAUGCACCUCCUCCGGGACCCCAUGCACCUCCUCCGGAACCCCAUGCACCUCCUCCGGGACCCCAUGCACCUCCUCAUGAUCCACACAAGCCACAUGACUGUCACCACGGUCACCACCACCCAUGAACCGAACUAGUCAUGAGGCCACGAUCGAGAAGCUAGUCUCAGCAAGUUGUUAUCUAUUUAUCUUUGUGCCUGUAAUGUGAUCUAGCUGCGGUUGUAGUUCUGAGUUGCUGGGUUUACUGGCUUUGCUCCAUUGAUCUCAUCGUUAUGUAAUGACUAAAAUAUGAGGACUAUGUAUGUAUCCAAAAGAAGGCUGAUCAUAUAUGUAUAAUAAGAAGAGUACUGGCUUUGUGGUUUAUGUAUAAUCCGCUUGUGUAAAACUUCUUCUUUUAUCCGUCUAAAUGUGAUGUAUAAUCAGAAAAUAUGGCCAGUUUGUCAUCUUGACCAACCUGAACUUACAAACUAAUUAAUUAAGUCAAUCUCCCCAAUUUCAUCAAUCUUCAUUAGGAUUUCAUCACUAGCUCAUUCCUUCACAGAUAAUUAACCAUUUGCUCGAUUGCUCUUAACAAACUGUAAUAGCCAAGAGGCAAACGCAUCCAUCUAAAUUCUAAAAAGUUAUUAACACAGGCUAGGGGUAAAUUAUCCUUUGUUCAGACCAAUCUCACAGUUGAAGCGAUGAAUUGGCUAAAACAAAAGCCUACGGGCAGAAAAACAAAGCAUCUCUAUUCGUACGGAAGAAUGACUUCCAUAUAUAGUAAGCCUUAUAGUUAUAACACCGUAAGUGUAUAAGAAUAGGAAUUCAUAAACGCAAUAAGAAGAAGACCGUGAAAGAGAUCGAAGAUUAAAGCAGGCCUUAAUGUCUUGUAUAUUCUGUACAAAAUUUCAACAGCCAGAUUUUCUCGAUGCAUUCGUCAGCUUCUGUUUGUAACCUUUCUUCUGUCAAAUCCUCCAUGGCUUUUCACGAGCAAUAAUUCUUGCAAGGUCCCAUUAACAAGCCUCACGUACGUUGUUCUUAUCUCCUUUUCCUUAGCUCACCAAGAAUUCAACUAUUACCAAGUGCAGCAACUAGUUUCUGUGAUCGAUCUACGGAAAGUUAAAGUUAUUGCUCAAAAGAGAAAGAGAAAACGGAAGUUAAAGUUCCAUGCUGCCCUAGUUCAAGUACGCACUCAGUUAUGAUCUUGUGGUUCUUACAAUGGAUGAAUGGAUGAAGCAUUACCACACAAAUACUCAGAAGAGAAAAACAAAACAACCACAGUGCACGAUUAACAUGCUAGCUAGCUUUCAUUGUGUGCAAAUAUCCUGAGCUACCAUUCCACCAAAACAAGCUAAAUAAGUUUAUCCUUGUAUGGAUAUUAUGUGAAUCGAAAUAAUUGUAUAUUUGAUUCUUAGAUAUUAUGUGGCACCUAUUACAACGAAGCAUGUGCCAUAUUCUGAAGAUAAUGUCGACACAUCUGAAUCAUCUAGAGCCCGUACCGACACCUUUCUCCUAUAAAAUCAACUCCUACUAGCUUAAACUCUUCAACAGUUCGCCACAUCAAGAACAACUUUCUUUUUGUUUAUACAAGCUAGUAGUCUCACCAAGAAUUCGAAGAUGCAUCACGGUGAUCAUCACGGCGGACCACCACACCACGGAGGAGGUCCGGGAGGAGGUCCGGGAGGUCCAGGAGGCGGCCCUCAACAUGGUCAUGGUCAUCAAGGAGCUCCGGGAGGAGGGCAUGGAGGACCAGGAGGAGGAGGGCAUGGAGGGCAAGGAGGAGGAGGACACGGAGGACCAGGAGGAGGAGGACAUGGAGGAGGAGGAGGAGGAGGACGAGGGGGGAGGAGGAGGACAUGGAGGAGGAGGAGGAGGAGGACGAGGGAGGAGGAGGAGGAGGACAUGGAGGAGGAGGAGGACGACGGAGGGCAUGGUGGUCACUGAUCAUGGCGCUAGACUACGUAUACUACUUGUGGUGUACUAGCUGGCUGAAUAAGUCUCUCUAUGUGACUUCUGUAGUAUUGUUUGUGUGUUAUCAUUUCCUAGUUGGGUCGAUCAGAUCCUAGAUAGUGAAGCUAGCUAGGGGAGUCGAUCUUGUGUUUGGAGUCUGUUAAUUAAUGUAUGUGUAUGGAUGUGUAAUAAAACCAUACUAGCUAUGUAUUUGAUUCGAGGCUUAACAUAUAUUGCAUGCAGCUAUAUAUAUAUAUAUAUAUAUAAUAUCCUUAGAUGACUAAGAACAUAAGAAACAGAGCAGUACUAUUGAUGAUUUACAAGAUUCAAUUUGUAUAAGUGAUCUUUGGCUUGUCCUAAUUAACCAUCAAGCAAAGCGCUAAGAACGAACAUAUUAUAUAUACUGCCAGAUGAUCAAGCAACUUUGCAGAGGGAUCAUGACGAAAUGUCCAUCUAGCAGCUUAAAUGCUUAAUUAGAACAAUUUUGCAAAACAAACACAAACUUGUAUAAUACGGUACCGAAAAUAUAAGUAUAACCGUUUGAAAUGUCAAGUUUAUCAAUCUUAUGAAAUCGAAGUAUCGUAAAUCGAUAAUGAUCUUCUUCAAAACUAGAACGAGAAUGUAACGUGUCUAUAUGACACUAUAAAUGUCUACGAAAUCAUGCGUUAAGAACAUAAUAUUAUAUUCCUUCGUUUUUUACUAAAGAAUAUCAUUACCGUUAAGCUUUAAUUGACAUACGUACGAUUGUACUUUGUAGUGAUACAUCUAAUUAUAUUGGUCGUGUGGUGCCCUUAGUAUAUUAAAAGGAAAAAACUAAAGAGACCAAAAGGCCCAAAGGAAACCACAGAAAUUGUCAUAAAGGUACAAGUGCAGCCCAACUUUCNNNNNNNNNNNNNNNNNNNNNNNNNNNNNNNNNNNNNNNNNNNNNNNNNNNNNNNNNNNNNNNNNNNNNNNNNNNNNNNNNNNNNNNNNNNNNNNNNNNNNNNNNNNNNNNNNNNNNNNNNNNNNNNNNNNNNNNNNNNNNNNNNNNNNNNNNNNNNNNNNNNNNGUCCUGAUCAUCACCUUCCUUGCCUAUGCUUCCUUCCACGCCUCCAGGAAGCCCCCCAGCAUCGUCAAGAGUGUUCUUGGCCCCAAACUCCUGUCCAAUUCGAGCUCUUUCGACACCGGUUGGGCUCCCUUUAAUGGCCCUGAUGGCACUCACAGGCUUGGAGAACUUGAUCUUGCAUUUCUAUCUGCAUAUUCUAUUGGAAUGUAUUUUGCAGGGCAUGUUGGUGAUAGGAUUGAUUUGAGGUUGUUUCUUGCUUAUGGGAUGUUAGGGAGUGGAGUUUUGACUUGUCUUUUCGGGUUAGGUUAUUGGUGCAAUGUGCAUAUGUUGUGGUACUUUGUGGGUGUGCAAGUUGUGUGUGGGUUGUUUCAGUCAAUAGGGUGGCCUUCUGUUGUGGCAGUUGUGGGGAAUUGGUUUAGGGUUUAGACAGCGGCCAUCACACGCCGGCCACGGUCACGCACCACCCCCAGGUCCGGGACACCACGAGCCUCCUCCGCCCCAUGGCCAUGCUCCUCCUCCGGGGCCUCAUGCACCUCCUUCGGGACCCCAUACACCUCCUCCGGAACCCCAUGCACCUCCUCCGGGACCCCAUGCACCUCCUCAUGAUCCACACAAGCCACAUGACCCGCACCACGGUCACCACCACCCAUGAACCGAACUAGUCAUGAGGGAUCACGAAGCUAGCUAGUCUCAGCAAGUUGUUAUCUAUUUCUGCCUGUAAUGUGAUCUAGCUGCGCUUGUAGUUCUGAGUUGCUGGGUUUACUGGCUUUGCUCCAUUGAUCUCAUCGUUAUGUAAUGACUAAAAUAUGAUGACUAUGUAUGUAUCCAAAAGAAGGCUGAUCAUAUAUGUAUAAUAAGAAGAGUACUGGCUUUCUGGUUUAUGUAUAAUCCGCUUGUGUAAAACUUCUUCUCUGUUAUCGGUCUAAAUGUGAUGUAUGAUCAGAAAAUAUGGUCAGUUUGUCCUCUUGACCAACCUUAACUUACAAACUAAUUAAGUCAAUCUCCCCAAUUUCAUCAAUCUUUAUUAGGAUUUCAUCACUCAUUCCUUCACAGAUAAUUAACCACACAUCCAAGCUGCAUUUGCUCGAUUGCUCUUAACAAACUGUAAUAAUUAACCAAGAGGCAAACGCAUCCAUCUAAAGUCUAAAAAUUAAGUUAUUAACACAAGGUUAAAUUAUCCAUUGUUCAGACCAAUCUCACAGUUAGAGCGAUGAAUUGGCUAAAACAAAAACCUACGGGAG